GCAACGGUAUGGAAUGUAAAAGUGGAUCGGAAGGUCAUGGACUCAGACUUCGUACUCUGUUUGGACAGUUAUACGACUGGCGCAUGAAACAGCCAGUACAAUUAAAGCAGAGGUGAAGCCCGCAUGAAAUGCCCCAGAAGUUGAGCUCAAGGGCUCCGAAAGAGAGACGAUUCCGUGGUCUGCUGCCCCCUGUCGGCGCGAGGCAGCACAGCGUCAUAACGCGCGUGUUUUUAUUUCAUUUGAUUUCAUAUGAACGUCGCCUGUUCCAAGAGCAGAACUCUGUCCUGAUGCAUAUUUGUCACAUAUGAUAUGGCGUUGUUUGUUGGGACGUGGUAGGAGAGCAGCGCGGAUCCCUGUGGGCGGACCCCCCGCGCAGCUGCGCUCUGUCCUCGCGCUCGGAAGCCGAGUACGCGGCGGCGCAGUUGGCGAGUAGCGGAGACCCGCAGCGGACGCGUUGCUCCCGCGCGCCAGAUUUGAAAACGCUAAAAAACGCCGCUGAACACACAGAGCACCUGGAGAGGGCGCCCUGGAGCUCAGUGACCUGCGCUGCACACCUGGCUGUGUACACCUGUGUAAACUCGACCACCUCCGAGAUCAUCAUCAUCAUCAUCACCAUGACCACCCAGACCGCGGUCCUGUCUCUGUUGAACUCGCGUGACCAAGCGGAAGACCCGGGGGACCCCGGACCUGGGCCGGGGAGUCGCGGCCUCGGCCGUGCGUCAGCUUGUCCCGGGGUGGGGUUUGGGACCCGGGGAUGGGGGGCCACACUGAUCUCCAGCUGUGGUGAUGUUCGGUAAGCGCGACUGUCAGUGGUGUGUCUUGAACGCGACCUUCGUUCGGAGUUGUGCAGGACUCCUCUCGAACCCCUUCACCCCCCUCUCCUGACGGGAGAUGACCGUAGCGAACGUGGUCUCAGUGCGGGACCGCGAGGAGACGGACGGCAGCUGUGUGUGUUUUCGUCCUCACCGAGUCACUGUAAUGCGGGGCGUCCUGGGUUCAAAGGUGUGUUGGUGACGUCCCCCUGGGCCCCCCCGAUUCGCUGACGCGAGGCCCCACCUCUCUCUGGAGCCCAUCCAACUGCCGAGUGCUCAGCGCAGCGGCGGUUCUGGCAGCUUCCGCACCGUGUUUAAGAAAUGCGUCGUGGGAAUCGGGCGGAGGAGAGGUCCGCGACGAUGACCUCCGCUCGUCAGCAGCAUCAUCGUCAUUGAGGAGCGGCCGAGAGGCGGAGCACAGCCUGAGAGCCCCUCCCCUCCCCAGAGAAACAUGGAGCACGAACCCCGGGAGAAGAGCAGGACCAGCUUCUUCAGCAAUGUCAAGACAAGCCCCCAGGCUCCCGGAGUGCAGGCGAACCCCCGGCCUCCACCCCGAGUCUGUGGCCCUGGCGGCGACCCCUCGCCUCACCCCCCUGCCCGCCCCCAUGUCCCGCACAUCCGAAACCCACGGCUGCGCCAGUACUACCUGAAAGAGUCGACAUGGGGGCUCGAGGAAGCCGGCGUGAAGCCUACAGCCUUGGACAAGUCUUCCAACGGGAAGGAUGGCUCUAAUGAUGGAGACACGGUUCGGCCCCAAGACACCGUCUUCAGCGUCGUGUCACGGUUGAGCCCCGCCCCCAUCCACCUGCCACGUGCGAGCGACCCGUCUCCACACAGCCUUGUCCCGGAGCGGCAUCUGCGUGUCCCGGAUGCCGAGGAAGCGCCCUCUUCGGCAUCAUCGCCAAGUUUGGACCCGACCCCUGAGCCGGUUCCCCCCGGCAGCCUCGCGUCCCCCUCGCCAGACGCCGAGUACGACAAACUGCUGGAUGUGGAAGCGGUGCCAAUGCCUGACGGACAGCUCUGUCUGCUGGCUUUGCCCCCCGAGUGCUCUGAGGGGGAGGGGCCCAUCGCCAUGCCGUACCUCAAACUCUACUGCCGCUACAUCACUGACCGCAAGGGCGUGGUGUCGGGGGUCCUGCUGGUGACGCCAAACAAGAUCUUCUUUGACCCGUACAAGUCCCACCCGCUGGUGGUGGAGCAUGGCUGUGAGGAGUACCUACUCUCCUGCUCCGUCGACGGCCUGCGGUCUGUGUCCUUCUGCCCCGACAUCUCCCACGUGCACUUCAGCGGUGCCGCACAGCGGGUCAAAGGGCGGAGGAAGGAGACACGCCUUAAGAAGGCAAAGAACCUAGCAAGGAAGUCGCAGGGGAUCCGGAAAGGGGAGACCGUCCUCGCCUUGGUGUCAUCGGCGGCUCCGGGUCCGAGCCCUGGCGAGGGGGGCGCGGAGAGCCGGGAUGCGGUGGGGGCGGAGCGAGCGGAGAGCGCCAUCGACGAGUUGGCCGCCCAGUCCGCAGGGGUGCUGGGGGCCGGUGUGCUGGGCAGUGCUGCCACCUUCUGCUGCGGUGGACUUGAUGCGGGCGACAAACGGAGCGCGGAGGGAGCCGAAGGACCGCAGGCGCCACGGAAGGGGCUGCCAGCGCUUUCCCCCCAGACCCCCGGUAGCCAUGGAGCCCUGAUGUUCUUGAGGCUGCGCUUCCACCCGCCCCACAGGAAGAAGAAGGUCGGCUCGGUAAAGUCCCCCCAGGUGAAAGACGCCUGGUUCGCCCUCUCCCAGGAGAGUUCGGAUGAGCUCUAUGCGUACCUGAGCCACUGGAGGCCUGACCUGUGCAUUCUGGAAGGCAGCGAGGAGGACGGCGAGAACGAGGAGUUUGUGCUGGUUGAUGAUGGGCAGGACGAGGUGUCCCAGGUGGACGGUCAGGCUGGAGACGAGUGGGAGAUGGUGUCUGUGGAGGAGGGUGGGGGGAAGAGCCUGGUUCUGGACAGAGAGCCGGAGGGACUGGGUGACAUCCUGGAGCAGAGCAACAUCCUUGAGGCUGAUCACGUCAGACGGCUCUCCAGCGAGCUUCCCCCUCGAACCGUGGGCCACACGUGGCGCCUGGCCUACAGCACGUCCCGACACGGCUCCAGCCUCCGCUCUCUCUACAGGAAGCUGUCCGGCAGCGACUCGCCCUCGCUGAUCGUCAUCAAGGACUCUCGAGGCCAGGUGUUUGGGGCAUUUCUCUCUCACCCGCUGAGGCCCAGCGAGAGCUUCUAUGGCACCGGGGAGACGUUCCUCUUCACCGUGGAACCGCGCUUUGAGUGUUUCCACUGGACGGGUGAGAACUCCUUCUUCAUAAAGGGCGACCUGGACUCCUUCGCCAUCGGGGGAGGAAGCAUCUGCACAGGUUCCGCCCCCUAGCGGUCGCCCGUGAACCGCGCUAAGGAGAGCAACGAGUGGGAAAAUCGCGAGCGAGAUUCGGCGCGUGACACUCGGAGAGAUGAGCGGCCGUGGCUUCCUUCAAGAUGAGUUUUGUCACCACGAGUUGCAUUUUUGAGAGUUCCAGUGCCUCGUUUCUGCUGGUACCAUCCCGCUUCUUCGUCUUCACAGAGCAGUGGGCAAGAGAGGCAUCGCCGCGUAGGAGUAGCGUGUGUCGACCUCAUGUGCAGAAAUCGGCGGUCACUUCGGCCUGUGGCUGGACGAGAUGCUCUACCUCGGCCGCAGUAGCCCCUGCUGCACCUUUGACAACCGCUGCCUUGCCGGGGCGGACGACUUCCGCGUCGUGGAGCUGGAGGUGUGGACUUUCUGCUGAGACCGUCGCCCCCUGGAGACCGGAGGACGACUUCACCAGCAGACUCCUUGCUGAGAAAGAGGAAGGAGGGAGGGUAGCGCCUCCUACUGGACACAGCCACCCGCAGCCUCUGCUUCCGCCAUCCCCCUUCCUGGAGGCCGUUGGGCUGCGUCCCAGCACCGCGUCGAGCCCUCAGUGUGACAUUGCCACCGUUUACAUGUCAGCUGGUCCGUCUGUGAAAGGUUUGACUGGGAAGACUGUGUGUAAACACACUUCAGCCCUUUGUUCAAAGGGGACGGUGAGGGUGGGG
Scleropages formosus (Asian bonytongue) is the source of this 3890-nucleotide RNA transcript. It is a transcript of the gene named nuclear receptor coactivator 7, with no coding region annotated. The record is from RefSeq and is a predicted model, not a curated record. The transcript has 19 exons. NCBI's taxonomy places the organism in Eukaryota, Metazoa, Chordata, Actinopteri, Osteoglossiformes, Osteoglossidae.